AUAAGACUAAAGCGACUGGUAUGUAGAGCGAAGCAGAAGCAAACUAGCUUACGAAAUAUUUAUCAAAGUCUAAUCUAACUUGCACUUCCAAUUUUGAACAUGAGAAACAGGUAAGUUUUAAAAACUACAAUCACAUACCAGGAAGAGUUUCAGCCUUCUCUCCGGUGAACUUGCAAGUUUCAGAUGGGAACUCCGGCAAGCUAAAGAUGCCUGAGGCUUUGACAGCUUCUCGUAACUUCUUCCACC
This 246-nucleotide long non-coding RNA is filed under the name Phoenix dactylifera (date palm). Its description in RNAcentral is "long non-coding RNA (PDAC_LNC020582)". Lineage: Eukaryota; Viridiplantae; Streptophyta; Magnoliopsida; Arecales; Arecaceae. The record is from RNAcentral.